RNAcentral lists this ribosomal RNA (398 nucleotides) under uncultured bacterium. RNAcentral's name for it is "bacterial SSU rRNA". It matches the Rfam family "Bacterial small subunit ribosomal RNA", at positions 358 to 773 of the family's 1533-position model. The record is from RNAcentral.
GGAAUUUUGCGCAAUGGGCGAAAGCCUGACGCAGCAACGCCGCGUGAGGGAUGAAGGCCUUCGGGUUGUAAACCUCUUUUGUCAGGGAAGAUCGUGACGGUACCUGGCGAAUAAGCCACGGCUAACUACGUGCAAGCAGCCGCGGUAAUACGUAGGUGGCAAGCGUUGUCCGGAUUUACUGGGCGUAAAGAGCGCGCAGGCGGUCGUUCAAGUCGAGUGUGAAAUCCCCCGGCUCAACUGGGGUGGGUCACUCGAUACUGAUCGACUCGAAGGCAGGAGAGGGAAGUGGAAUUCCCGGUGUAGUGGUGAAGUGCGUAGAUAUCGGGAGGAACACCAGUGGCGAAGGCGACUUCCUGGCCUGUUCUUGACGCUGAGGCGCGAAAGCUAGGGGAGCAAAC